Molecule: ribosomal RNA, 253 nt
Filed under: uncultured bacterium
Lineage: Bacteria
Description: partial 16S ribosomal RNA
Rfam family: Bacterial small subunit ribosomal RNA
Source: RNAcentral
UACGGAGGGGGCUAGCGUUGCUCGGAAUUACUGGGCGUAAAGCGCACGUAGGCGGCUUUGCAAGUUAGAGGUGAAAGCCCGGGGCUCAACUCCGGAAUUGCCUUUAAAACUGCAUCGCUAGAAUUGUGGAGAGGUAAGUGGAAUUCCGAGUGUAGAGGUGAAAUUCGUAGAUAUUCGGAAGAACACCAGUGGCGAAGGCGACUUACUGGACACGUAUUGACGCUGAGGUGCGAAAGCGUGGGGAGCAAACAGG